UAUAUAUAAUUGAAAAUUUAUAAUUUAAUAUUGCUAGUCAAAUGCCUAAUGUCAUAAUGUCUAAGAAUGUAUAUUAUAUAUAUUGAUGUAUAUGAUAAUGUUAAAAAUUAAAAAUAAAUUGCCAUCAGUAUUAAAUAAUUAAAUAAAAAUGGAGGAGAGAGCAAUGCUAUCUCUGGAUGCUUUCUCUUGUUAUGUUUGUUGGAUCUUGUCUUAGAGCUGGAUCACUGCCAUUAAGUUAAAUAAAUUUAUCAGAAGAAGUAAGAUAUAGAAGUGAAGAAGAAUAUUUUAUGUAAUAUAAAAUUAUGUAUGUAUAUAAUAGGUGUAUAUCAGAAUUCAUUGUAUCUUGUAAUUUACGUGCAAUAUGUUUUCCAUAGCACAAGUUACAAUUAGUUUCAAUAUUAGGAGCAGGACUCCUUGUUGGUACUGCGCUAGCGAUUAUACCUGACUGUACCUGAGGGUGUAAGAGCAUUAUUUACUGUGGAUGGUAUUAUUAAUGAAAAAGGCAAUUUACAUACUUUAACUUGGAAUUAGUUUAGUACUUGGUUUAUGCUUUUAAUUGAUCAAUGUUCAGCCAGAAAAAGUGGAGGAAGACAAGAAAAGUAUUACAGCAACCUUAGGUCUUAUAGUAGAUGCUGCUAGUUGAUUGGCGGUGUUGCAUUGGGAGCUGCUGCUACAUCUCAAGCUGAUGUCGAAGUGUCUUAGUUUUUCUUCGCAAUAAUGUUACACAAGGCGCCAGAUGCAUUUGGACUUGUGUCAAUUUCUUCUUCAUGAAGGUGUAGAUAGAAAGUAAGAAAAUAAGCAGACACUUAUUAAUUUUCUCACUUGCGGCACCGUGUCUUGCACUUGUGACAUAUUUUGGAAUUGGAAAAGUAAUGUGAGUGAGUAAUAGUAUAUGGAAUGUAUCGCAAGAUGUGUACACAUACAGUUACACCCCAUAUGCGCACUAUACUUGUUUCUUUUGCUGUAUACAUAUGCGUAUUGUUUAAUAGAAACAUUUAUUAUCUGAAAGGAAAAAAUGUUCCUGCUGAUGCACAAAAGCGUAACGUCAUAUACUGAUAUAUCUAAACACUUAUGAUACUUGCCCUACAGAAUGACAUAAUUUAGAUAAAGGAAAAUACUUAAAUAAAGUGUUAUGCUUGCAGAUAUCCAAACUGUCGAAACGCAAUCUCUGCAAUAUACAAUUGUUGUAUGCAUAUAUGUAUGCAAAACAUAUAAUGGUGCGAGUUGGGAAAAAAAUGCUUUACGAUUUAGAACAGAUACAUUAGAAGCAAUUGUACUAAGCAUUUAACGAAUAAAAUUCAUUUAUAUAUUAUUUAUUUGCCCAAUAUUUCUGUUAUUAAAUUACGUAAUUUUUCCUUAACAGACACCUAUUGUAAUGAAAUAACAUACAGUGCACAAGAUAGUUAAUCAAUAUAUAUUAUAGAGAAACAAUAGAAAAUCCGGGACAUUCAGGACUGCCGCGCAAGACUGCACGCGCCAAUCAGGCGCGAGAACGGACGCGGACGCGCGAAGACUCCCAAUCAGGAGCGAGGACUGCCGUGCGUGCGCGAAGACGUCCAAUCAGGCGCGAGAACUGCCGCGCACGCCGCCAAGACUCCCAAUCAGGCGCGAGGACUGCCGCGGACGCGCGAAGACUGCCAAUCAGGAGCGAGGACUGCCGCGCACGCCGCCAUAACUGCC
Molecule: long non-coding RNA, 1680 nt
Organism: Camponotus floridanus (Florida carpenter ant)
Lineage: Eukaryota; Metazoa; Arthropoda; Insecta; Hymenoptera; Formicidae
Exons: 6
Source: RefSeq, a predicted model, not a curated record